AACUCUAACACACAUAUGCUGGUAAGGGUUUCAGGAUAGGAUUUUUCUGCAGUAUGUCAUUUGGUCCUAUGAAGAAUUGUCUGUUCAAAUGUUGGAGUAUUUGACUGAAAAUUCCUUAAUAACUCUUUUAAAGCCCAAGGGAAUAAAAUCCACUCACAAUUCUACAAAAGGAAUCUAUUUAUAACCUAUAAACUGAAUAGGCGGCAACUGAUCUACCUAUAGAAUCAAGAAAGGUAUUUUAUAAUGAUUAGAAGUAUCGAUUCUUUCUGCUAAUCACCGGGUGAUUUCCUGUAAAACCCAUAUCUUGCUGUUUGUGAAUAAGGUAUAUUCACAUCUGUUACCAUGUGUGGGUUAACAUUCAGAUAGAGAAGACCUCAGUUCAAGCAAAUUGAGUGCAGGAGAAUUCCUAGUACGGUGGAGAGGGCUGUGUUUGUGUGCAGAAGAUAUAAAGGGUGAGGUUAUCAGUAAGCAUCUCAGGCUGAGGGAAAGUAGUGAGGGUAGGAGUGCAUAAACACAGUUCUCCUAGACUUUAGUAAUCAGCCAUAGGAAGAAAACUAAAGAAUUUUGAAGAAAUGUUCUAACAUUAUUACGAUCAUUGGUAGGUAGGUAGAAGGCAGAGAAGAGAGAAG
This 629-nucleotide long non-coding RNA is filed under the name Marmota marmota marmota (Alpine marmot). RNAcentral's name for it is "lncRNA (ENSMMMG00000000116.1)". The record is from RNAcentral. Lineage: Eukaryota; Metazoa; Chordata; Mammalia; Rodentia; Sciuridae.